RNAcentral lists this ribosomal RNA (646 nucleotides) under uncultured bacterium. RNAcentral describes it as "bacterial SSU rRNA". It matches the Rfam family "Bacterial small subunit ribosomal RNA", at positions 212 to 858 of the family's 1533-position model. The record is from RNAcentral.
UUAUCGGUAUGAGAUGGCGAUGCGUCCCAUUAGCUAGUUGGUGGGGUAACGGCUCACCAAGGCAUCGAUGGGUAGGGGUUCUGAGAGGAAGGUCCCCCACAUUGGAACUGAGACACGGUCCAAACUCCUACGGGAGGCAGCAGUGAGGAAUAUUGGUCAAUGGACGAAAGUCUGAACCAGCCAAGUAGCGUGCAGGAUGACGGCCCUCUGGGUUGUAAACUGCUUUUAGUUGGGAAUAAAAAGAGGGACGUGUCCCUUAUUGUAUGUACCAUCAGAAAAAGGACCGGCUAAUUCCGUGCCAGCAGCCGCGGUAAUACGGAAGGUCCAGGCGUUAUCCGGAUUUAUUGGGUUUAAAGGGAGCGCAGGCGGCGGCGUAAGUCAGUUGUGAAAUCGUGCGGCUUAACCGUGCAAUUGCAGUUGAUACUGCGUCGCUUGAGUGCACACAGGGAUGUUGGAAUUCAUGGUGUAGCGGUGAAAUGCUUAGAUAUCAUGAAGAACUCCGAUCGCGAAGGCAUAUGUCCGGAGUGCAACUGACGCUGAGGCUCGAAAGUGUGGGUAUCAAACAGGAUUAGAUACCCUGGUAGUCCACACAGUAAACGAUGAAUACUCGCGGUUGGUUCGUUAGAGUCAGCCGCCAAGCGAAAGC